UACGGGGGGGGCAAGCGUUGUUCGGAAUUACUGGGCGUAAAGCGCAUGUAGGCGGAUAUUUAAGUCAGGGGUGAAAUCCCGCAGCUCAACUGCGGAACUGCCUUUGAUACUGGGUAUCUUGAGUAUGGAAGAGGUGAGUGGAAUUCCGAGUGUAGAGGUGAAAUUCGUAGAUAUUCGGAGGAACACCAGUGGCGAAGGCGGCUCACUGGUCCAUUACUGACGCUGAGGUGCGAAAGCGUGGGGAGCAAACAGG
Molecule: ribosomal RNA, 253 nt
Filed under: uncultured bacterium
Lineage: Bacteria
Description: partial 16S ribosomal RNA
Rfam family: Bacterial small subunit ribosomal RNA
Source: RNAcentral